AAUACCAUUGUUUUUCGCUCUCUUUUCUUAAGGCGGCGGCAUAGUGGAUGAACCCUAUAUAAACAUUGGUAUGUGUUAAUUUCAAGAUCCUCUGUGAAAUUAGUUAGUAUACUGCCUCGUUCCUUUUCUUCACCAUCUUUAGAGGCCAUGUCUAAUGUUGUCGACCUUCACAACCAUACGGAGAACAGGAGCUGGAGAACAUGUUAUCCGAGUUGUCGUCUGAACCAAGAUAUCAGCAAAGACGAACGACUUCAUUCUGAUCGAGUGCUUUCUUUAGUUCUUUUGCAGAAGGUACUGUAGUCCUGAUAGAUAUAGGAAUGUGUAUCCUCUAUGAAACAUCUUAUUAGGGAGUUGGGAGAUAGAUCUUAGCAUGUUUGAUCUUUGUUUUAUCUGUAUAUGUUUAGAUGCACAUGAAAAACUGAAGAUGAAAUGGACUCUUACCUUACUGUGUCCUUUUUAC
Long non-coding RNA from Solanum tuberosum (potato), 460 nucleotides. RefSeq lists it as uncharacterized. The transcript has 2 exons. The record is from RefSeq and is a predicted model, not a curated record. Lineage: Eukaryota; Viridiplantae; Streptophyta; Magnoliopsida; Solanales; Solanaceae.